Scophthalmus maximus (turbot) is the source of this 2479-nucleotide long non-coding RNA. RefSeq lists it as uncharacterized. Lineage: Eukaryota; Metazoa; Chordata; Actinopteri; Pleuronectiformes; Scophthalmidae. The record is from RefSeq and is a predicted model, not a curated record. The transcript is spliced from 6 exons.
AUUCAAUGUUGGAUUUAUCACCGUGGACAUGUUGUACAAAGUAUCCGAAAAGACACUGAAGAUCCAGGCCGCACUACAAAUCUUCUGAAGGGGCCACGGUCGCACGGAAGCCCUGCCUGCAAUGGCGCAAAUGUUAGCUUCCCGUCAAAACAAAUCCAGAGGGCAGUUCUGAGGCGGUGAGGCUGGGGGAGACGGGAGGACUGAGAGGGGAACUGGGAGCAGUCACUGCGGGAGGAGAGAGAUAAGAACAGAGGGAGAGAGAAACGUGGCGGGAGUUUGCAGAGUAGAACGCAGCAGUGCAACCGACAAAGCGAGGGUAGAAGAAGACAGCGGGCAGCGAUGUGAUCUGAAAACAACACAUCAAGCAGUCGCGGCGAUGGACCUCGUGUCACAGAUCGAGCCCGACCUGAAAUCCAAUCCACUGGUUUUCUCUACGACUACUCGGCUCCCCACUCUCAUCCUCCUCCAAAACAUUCAGCGUGUCUGAUGGUAUCGGGUCCUCUGCUGACAUCAUGGUUGAAGGAGUGGGUGCCAGACACCACUGACACAGGGCUCUCAAACAUAUAUAACAAGCACCGGCCCUCUUCAAAAGACGGGCCCUGCGGCGAACCCUCAAAAAUAGGAACAGACCUUGGACAACCAUUACACAACCACACCUGUUGCUUCAGGCACCGAGAUGAGCCUGGGAAAGCUAUGACAUCACCAAAGGCCUCUGUGAACCUCUCCGAGCCGCGCGGGGCUCAGUGCUGCAGCGGAUGAGCGACAGGCAUUUCCUGUCUGUCUAAAACAACAAAUAACAAAGUUUGAUUAAUGUAAGAUGUGCUACGACUCAACAGACUCGUGUUCAGGAUCAUAUCGUUAUCGAUUGGUCUGUUGAUUGUUUCCUCCAUUAAUCGAUCAGUUAUAUGGUCCAUAAGAUGGUGAGUAAUGUUGAUUUGUGUUUCCCAAACCCCAAGGUGAUGUUUUGUUCUGUCCACAAACCGAAGAUAUUCUGUUUACUUUCAAAAGAGGAGCAAAGAAAUAAGAUAAGUCAUUUAACCUUUCAUCAAAACUACUUAAUACAAUUAGUGAAUAAUCAAAAUUUGUUGGUGAUUUAUAUAGCAAUCGAUUACGAAUCGAUUACUCGAUACAUUGUUGCAGCUCUACCAUGUAUACUGAAUAUUUUAUACAGAGGGAAUUUACCUUGUAGCUUAUGUGGCAGACAUCAAAACCGACAACACAUCAUUGCCCUGCCUUUUCCACAAACAGACGGCGGUUGGAGCUCAACAGUGGAGCCACGGUAAUGAAAACAUCUGUAAAAGUUUGAGGCUCACCGUCUUAUUAUUGUCCCUUUUUUUUUUUAAAUCAGAGUCCUUUAUUGUCAGUUUGAAAUUGUUUAACCCUGGAACGGACUCAGCCGAGGACAGUGAACUCAUGAUGAUGAUGUGAUUUUAAUAACAUUGAGAUGCAUGGCUAAUGUGACAGUCCUAUUUAUGCACUCAUAGUGAGGAGCAACCAAUGAUCAACGUCAAUCUAAUUCCAUGCAAUAAAUUAGAUUGUGCUGUGAUGUUUGAAACAACCCUCUGCAGCUCUUGUUCUUAUUUGUAUAUCGAAGCCUAAUUUUAAUAACUUUAAUUGCCAUGAUAGACGAGUACAAACACCAGUGCAACAGGUGAGACACAGGAGGAACUGACUUACCCUCGAGUUUCUUCUCUGUGCUGGAUGGUAGAGGCGGAGUGCACAAACUGAAGGGAAGGCAUCGGGCUGACUGGUUAUUCCCCAUGAUUUGUUUCUCAUGCAAAAAAAGAGAAGAAAUAGAAAGCCAACACAGUUUAUCUUCCACCAUCAUCUGACAUUCCAGACGGGGUCGUUGGAGGAAGUGGAGCCCUGCCGGCAAGGAAGAGCUACUUCACCGCGGCCUACACGUAAUGUCCUGACAUUCCUCGCUUUGUACAAGUCUUUGGCUAUCAUGUCACUGAUCUAACCCACAUCUCGGCUCCCGUCACGUCACAGCAGCUUGUUUUUGUCAUGACCCGCAAGGACUCUUUCUUGUGUAUCGGUUAUUGUAGUGCCUCUGAUCCCUUGUGUUUGGUUCCUGUUUUAUUUUGAAGAAGUUCCUUGUGUUUCCACACUCCCUGUUUCCCUGUCUGGUGUCUUGUUUUUCCUGUGUCUCCUGCCCCUGUGACUGUCUGCACCUGUUCCUGACCUGUCUCACCUGUGUUCUGUUUGCCCCGCCCUCCUUGUGUGUGUUAAGUCUCUGUGCUUCCCUUUGUCAGGGUUGGAUCGUCGGUUUUCCUUGUUGUCUUCCUCGGUAUGUUACUAGCGUUUUCUCCCAGUCUGUUCCGGAACUUUCUGUCCCUGUGAUUUUUCCCCUGGCUACAGUGUUCCAGUGUUUUCUUGUGUUGCUACUUGAACAGCUUUAGUUGGACUUUGGUUUUGUUUUACUUUCAGACUCUGUAAGUUUGGUUUCUUUUCAGUUGAUUAAAGACUAUUUAAAGUG